UUCCGGUUGAUCCUGCCGGAGGUUACUGCUAUCGGUGUUCGCCUAAGCCAUGCGAGUCAUAUGUAGCAAUACAUGGCGUACUGCUCAGUAACACGUGGAUAACCUGCCCUUGGGACCGGCAUAACCCCGGGAAACUGGGGAUAAUUCCGGAUAACGCAUAUUUGCUGGAAUGCUUUAUGCGUCAAAAGGAUUCGUCUGCCCAAGGAUGGGUCUGCGGCCUAUCAGGUAGUAGUGGGUGUAAUGUACCUACUAGCCAGCGACGGGUACGGGUUGUGAGAGCAAGAGCCCGGAGAUGGAUUCUGAGACAUGAAUCCAGGCCCUACGGGGCGCAGCAGGCGCGAAAACUUUACAAUGCGGGAAACCGUGAUAAGGGGACACCGAGUGCCAGCAUCAUAUGCUGGCUGUCCGGAUGUGUAAAAUACAUCCGUUAGCAAGGGCCGGGCAAGACCGGUGCCAGCCGCCGCGGUAACACCGGCGGCCCGAGUGGUGAUCGUGAUUAUUGGGUCUAAAGGGUCCGUAGCCGGUUUGGUCAGUCCUCCGGGAAAUCUGAUAGCUCAACUAUUASGCUUUCGGGGGAUACUGCCAGACUUGGAACCGGGAGAGGUAAGAGGUACUACAGGGGUAGGAGUGAAAUCUUGUAAUCCCUGUGGGACCACCUGUGGCGAAGGCGUCUUACCAGAACGGGUUCGACGGUGAGGGACGAAAGCUGGGGGCACGAACCGGAUUAGAUACCCGGGUAGUCCCAGCCGUAAACGAUGCUCGCUAGGUGUCAGGCAUGGCGCGACCGUGUCUGGUGCCGCAGGGAAGCCGUGAAGCGAGCCACCUGGGAAGUACGGCCGCAAGGCUGAAACUUAAAGGAAUUGGCGGGGGAGCACAACAA
Molecule: ribosomal RNA, 880 nt
Filed under: Methanosarcina sp. enrichment culture clone AM6
Lineage: Archaea; Methanobacteriati; Methanobacteriota; Methanomicrobia; Methanosarcinales; Methanosarcinaceae
Description: bacterial SSU rRNA
Rfam family: Archaeal small subunit ribosomal RNA
Source: RNAcentral